Molecule: long non-coding RNA, 787 nt
Filed under: Linum usitatissimum (flax)
Lineage: Eukaryota; Viridiplantae; Streptophyta; Magnoliopsida; Malpighiales; Linaceae
Description: long non-coding RNA (LUSI_LNC005645)
Source: RNAcentral
AGGUCACUCAAUUCUCAACAAAUUUUUUCAUAUCGAAUCAGCAAAUCUAAAAACAACAUAACUUGCCCUUCGAUUCUCAUAUCCUUGUUUCCGGAUAUAACGAUUAGGAAUUUAUACAUUUGACAUGUUAUUUGUCAUUUAUCAGAGAAAAAAAGGAGAAAAAGUUCUACGUAUAUAAUCAACCAUUGGUUAUAUUUUGUCUUUUGGAACAUAUUGGAGAGGGAAGGACAUUAGCUUAGAUCCUUCACAACCUUAUCUCUUUAAUCACUGCAAAUGUGGAAGAAAAUGGCGUAUAUAAAUUCUCAAUAAAAAUCAUAAUCUGUCCAAGUAAAGAAUGUGACAUAGAAGUCCGAUUCGGGUAACAACAUCGAGAUGAUUUUUCAGCAAAAAAUCCAUAAACAAAGGCGUAAAAAUUAUAAACAGCUUGACCUCCGCCAGAUCCAAAUAACUGAUAAUACCAUAACUUAUUACAUUGCUAAACUGACAUCAUAGUUCAAGGUGAGAAGCCUGAAAUUUGAAAUUAAGAGACAUUAAAAAUAAGGGAGUCAUAUGAAAAAACUGAGUAUAAGAAAAUCACCUUGAUACGAAGAUCAUUGAGAAAUCGUAGGAGAGGGUAAGCCAAAUAUGUUGGAAUCCUUGUCGGAGAGACAAAAAGAGAGAAGGAGAGCUUGAUUUUUUUGAGGAUAGGAAAAUAGGGUUGAGAUUAAUUAUUUUCAAUACGUUCAGCGACGCAUAUUAUCAUUGAUUGAAGAAGCUAUGCUGCUCAAGGAAAAAGAUGAGAAGAGAA